AGUGGUAGGAACCAGGAAGGAACAGGGACAACCACCGGUGAGUGGAGCAAGUGAACAGCUACCUUUCACGUUGUGCCCGUACAACCAAAUAUAUGUCCAAAGCAGGUGAUCAGAGUGUUUGUAAUAUUUUUGUAUACUUUUUUAUAUUGAGCAUCAUACCCUCAUUAUUUUCUUUCAACGGCAGGGGUGGACAUGCUUACAUUGCAUGCAAUGGGCUGGAACCAUAAAAAAGUAUCUCUCUACAUCAGGCACUUUCCACAAUAUAUGUGAAAACAUCCAGCACGAGACUGCAAGGCUAGCAGAACUAAAAACAAAGCUACAUCGCACAGAUAAAGGAACGUCACAAUGGCUUUCUGAUGUGAAAGAAUGGGUAGCUCGUGGUACUACUAUGUGAAAUUUUUAGUUUGAUAUUAAACAAGUGCCAAAGAUGGCAGGCUUAUCAUCUAUUUCUUAACCUCCUAAGACCUGGUGUGUCCACAUACAUGGACAUCACAUUUUUUGUUGUUUGCAUCAUAAUACUUUAUUCUGUGUAACUGGAACCUGGUACACAAACAUGAACAAUUACACUGCUUCAUUUUCAAAAAAAAAAAAUAUUUGGUUAAUAUAUUUAUUGAUUUUUCCUGACCCCAAAUAGCUGGAAGAAAUCUAAAAUGCAAGCCAAACCAAAGCUCGGGUCUUAGAAGGUUAAACAGUUGGUGACAUCUCCUGCCACCAUAAACAAGCCAACUUCAUCUCACCAUCAAAUGUUAUUGCACAUUUAUGUUGUGUUUAUGUUUAUUAUAGUUUCUUUGCAGGAACCAUACAUAUCAAGUAAAGUUGUUUAAACCAUUAAAAUGGCUUUUAUAUACAAAUUUAUCCUCUGAAAUGUUUGUGUGUUGUUUAAACAGUGAAUUUGCUUUCAUUAUCACUUCUACAGAGACAUCAGAAACAUCUCAUGCCAGUCAAGGCACCACACACAGAAAACUUUAUCUUAGUGUGAUGCUGCGCAAGCAGACUCUCUACUGUCAGAAUGACAGCAGCAAGCUUUGCCACCGCCUUCAAAGGAAGCUGGCAGAUGACAAAAGCUCCUUCUUCAGGAGAUACAGAACUACAAUGAUCUUGUACUAGACUCUGCCACAAACAUCAUUGACCUAGCUGUGGUGGAGCAUUCCCUCACUGGAGAGAGCAGUGUGUCUCAGAUAUGGCCGUGGGACCUUCAUGGCAGUGCAAACAUUUCAGUCAAGAAACGAUUGCAUGACCAAGUGAUGUUGACAAUGCGACUGCACGAGGAAAGGGGCAUUGUGGUGUUGGAGAUGGCUCAACAAUACACAUGGUUGCAGAGCCUGGCAGUGGCUCUCAAGAACAAGAUGGCUGAGGAGGACAAGGGAAAUGAAGGACUUUGCUGUCUCUUAAGAAGAAGAUCGUCAGUGGUGUCAGAAGGGUUACAAGUCGUCCUUCAACAAUACAAGACUGCAUUAGGUCUUGAGGCCUCUGUCCUUCUACAUGUUGAAGAAGAAGAUCAAAGUGACCUCAGCAGUCCAGAUACCAGCGAGGAUGAAGAGGAAAACAUAAUUUAGAUAGAAACUGCACAAAGGACUGCGUUUAAGGAAAUGGACUUGGCAUAUAUCUGUGUAGUGUUAGUAUGCUAACUACAUUAUUAUCUGUAUGCAUCCUAUAUUGUUAAAAUGUUCAACCUGUGUCUAGAUUAUCAAGCAUGUUAUUUAGCACGUUGAUGCUCCUUAAAUAUGCACAAACAUCUCAAUAUAGGUGCAAGAAUCGUAUGAUAUUAUCAGAUGUAAUAAUUGAACUUAUGUUAUAUUUGGAUAGUGUAUUCAUAAUUUGUGUAUUUAAAGUUGCUAAUGGGCAUUGUUAGCCACAUCACAAACUCACUGUUAAAACACUGCUUAUUGUGCCUUAUUGUGUUUAUGUACUUGCAUUGGUGCAGUAAUAUUGAAUGCAGUAAGGUCAUUGGUGUGUUUUAGCUUUGAACACAUAACACAGAGCUCAACCAAUCAGAAUAAUCAUUGAUAAUGAAGUAAAAGUUUUAAACGGGUAAGUUGAUAUGAAAUAUUGUAAGCACAUUCAUCAGGAUGACUUUGCUGACCUUGUGACCUUUAUUACCACAUUUAGGCCAAAAUGUGAAAACUCUACUUGAUUGAGUGUAUUAUAGGAUAUAACUGUUGUGCACCAUUGAAGAUAAACAUCAUAAAUUCUUUCUUAAAGAUGGAUAAUUUGUUGGCAAUGUGUCUGUCACUAUUAAACACUAUAGUAUGCAAAAGAAAAA
Molecule: non-coding RNA, 2263 nt
Organism: Misgurnus anguillicaudatus (oriental weatherfish)
Lineage: Eukaryota; Metazoa; Chordata; Actinopteri; Cypriniformes; Cobitidae
Source: RefSeq, a predicted model, not a curated record